Molecule: non-coding RNA, 770 nt
Organism: Oryctolagus cuniculus (rabbit)
Lineage: Eukaryota; Metazoa; Chordata; Mammalia; Lagomorpha; Leporidae
Source: RefSeq, a predicted model, not a curated record
UCAGCGCACUUGGGGUUACCGCCCCGUAGAGCUGCGCGUGCGCAGGACGGGCUGACGCCGAGGAAGGCUGUGUCCGAGCCACGUGAUCAGUGAGGCCGCAGCCAGAGAAUUUGUCGUCGACGUGGAGGCUGGGGUCCAAGAGAAAAAGGCAUGCCACACCGUACAGGGGACCUCUCCAGAGUAAGAACAAGGGAGCAGACUCAACCAAGUCACAGUCAGGGAGGAUGAGAAGGAGAACUUGUGCAGGUCCCAGCCUCUUCACACCGAUGCACCUGCUUCGCUUGGAUGUGGUACUUACAGCCUGUGUGUGGGGAUGGUGAGCCAUCAGAAAACUAUAAAACUUGCAGGAGCUGCCUCUGAACCUAAAGAGGAGGACUUCAUUUUGCCUGGAGGAUUGAGAUUUGUAUGAAGCCUGAUGAGACUUUGCUCUCCCCUCGUUGGGAAGAGGUAGAAGGGUCUUCAUUUAAUGUUGUCAGCCAGCACAAGCAGAUGAAGCAGGCAGCACUUGUGUGGCCUGUCACCCCUUCACAAAGGAGUGAUCCUAUUUUGCUGACAGCCCUGAAGACCACUCAAUCUCACACUGCAAAGCUGUCCGUGAUCAGAAGCAAGCCCGGUUCCAGGAGAGAAUUUCACCAAAAUGCAAGUAGAGCGAACAUUUGCUUCUCUUCUGGGUUCAGGAGGACAAACAAUGUCUCCUGUGCAAAAGGCGGGGAAAAGUUCAGAGGCACAAAUGCCACAGUCCUGUUUCUGUGCACGGAUUCAGAGAGAAA